Molecule: ribosomal RNA, 1413 nt
Filed under: Latreutes sp. BOLD:ACR5469
Lineage: Eukaryota; Metazoa; Arthropoda; Malacostraca; Decapoda; Hippolytidae
Description: SSU rRNA
Rfam family: Eukaryotic small subunit ribosomal RNA
Source: RNAcentral
CAGCAGGCACGCAAAUUACCCACUCCCGGCCCGGGGAGGUAGUGACGAAAAAUAACGAUGUGAGACUCAUCCGAGGCCGCGCAAUCGGAAUGAGUACACUUUAAAUGCUUUAGCGACUACCCAUUGGAGGGCAAGUCUGGUGCCAGCAGCCGCGGUAAUUCCAGCUCCAAUAGCGUAUAUUAAAGUUGUUGCGGUUAAAAAGCUCGUAGUUGGAUCUCAGUUCCGGACUGACCGUGCACCGCCCGGYGCUUACUGUCASGCUCCGAACAGCCGCAACGCCGGCUCGCAUUGGAUGCUCUUUGUCGAGUGUCCCGAGUGUUCGGAGAGUUUAAUUUGGAGAAAUUAGAGUGCUCAGAGCAGGCUAUUUGAAUGGCCAAAAUGGUGAUGCAUGGAAUAAUGGAAUAGGACCYCGGUUCUAUUUUGUUGGUUUUCGGAUCCAGAGUUAAUGACUAAUGGGAACAGGCGGGGGCUUUCUUAUUGCGACGCUAGASGUGAAAUUCUUGGACCGUCGCAAGACGAACUACUGCGAAAGCAUUUGCCAAGGAUGUUUUCAUUAAUCAAGAACGAAAGUUAUAGGUUCGAAGGCGAUCAGAUACCGCCCUAGUUCUAACCAUAAACGAUGCCAACUASAGAUCCGCUGGCGUUUAUUCCCAUGACCGGGCGGGCGGCUUCCGGAAAACCAAAUGUGUUUGGGUUCCGGGGGAAGUAUGGUUGCAAAACUGAAACUUAAAGGAAUUGACGGAAGGGCACCACCAGGAGUGGAGCCUGCGGCUUAAUUUGACUCAACACGGGAAACCUCACCAGGCCCGGACACCAGAAGGAUUGACAGAUUAAGAGCUCUUUCUCGAUUUGGUGGGUGGUGGUGCAUGGCCGUUCUUAGUUGGUGGAGUGAUUUGUCUGGUUAAUUCCGGUAACGAACGAGACUCUGGCCUACUAACUAGUCGACGGGGUCUACAGCCCGUCCGCGGGCGGCGGCCCCGUUCGACAAUGUCUUCUUAGAGGGAUGAGCACCGAGUAUAGCUGCAGGAGAUUGAGCAAUAACGGGUCUGUGAUGCCCUUAGAUGUCCUGGGCCGCACGCGCGCUACACUGAAUGGGUYASCGGGUUGUCCUUCUCCGAGAGGAGCGGGAAAUCGCGUGAAAACCAUUCGUGAUAGGGAUUGGGGCUUGCAAUUGUUUCCCAUGAACGAGGAAUUCCCAGUAAGCGCGAGUCAUCAGCUCGCGCUGAUUAAGUCCCUGCCCUUUGUACACACCGCCCGUCGCUACUACCGAUUGAAUGAAUUAUUGAGGCCUUCGGACUGGCGGUCUCGGACUGGGCUCCGGACGGCGCAAGCCGUGCCGGACCCGCCCUGACGAGCCGGAAAGAUGUCCAAACUUGUUCAUUUAGAGGAAGUAAAAGUCGUAGCAAGGUUUCC